UACAGAGGGUGCGAGCGUUGUUCGGAAUUACUGGGCGUAAAGAGCGCGCAGGCGGUCGUUCAAGUCGAGUGUGAAAGCCCCCGGCUCAACUGGGGAGGGUCACUCGAUACUGAUCGACUUGAAGGCAGGAGAGGGAAGCGGAAUUCCCGGUGUAGUGGUGAAAUGCGUAGAUAUCGGGAGGAACACCAGUGGCGAAGGCGGCUUCCUGGCCUGUUCUUGACGCUGAGGCGCGAAAGCUAGGGGAGCAAACGGG
This 253-nucleotide ribosomal RNA is filed under the name uncultured bacterium. RNAcentral's name for it is "partial 16S ribosomal RNA". It matches the Rfam family "Bacterial small subunit ribosomal RNA", at positions 524 to 776 of the family's 1533-position model. The record is from RNAcentral.